Mus musculus (house mouse) is the source of this 1106-nucleotide long non-coding RNA. RefSeq annotates it as predicted gene, 38803. The record is from RefSeq and is a predicted model, not a curated record. NCBI's taxonomy places the organism in Eukaryota, Metazoa, Chordata, Mammalia, Rodentia, Muridae. The transcript has 2 exons.
AGGGAGAGAGCAAAAAAGAGGUGGACCAACACUGAUCCUUGAAGAACUGAAAGUCUUCAGGGUCUGUAGCAGAUGCCAGCAGGGCAGUCAGGACAUUAAUUAGGCAUGGAAUAUUUUGAGCAUAGAGAGGGAAAGUGUAGAUGGGCUGGAACCCACGACUCUUGAUGAAGACACUUCUAUUAAAUCUGGCAAGGAUGCAAACUGAAACCACAGUGGUCCAGCCUUCCCAAGAGGCCUUUGCUCUUCUGCACCUACAGUGACCCAAAGGCAUUGCAGGGUAUCCUGAGUGAACUCACAGGAGGCCUCUGUGGGGAAAUUCACACACGCUAAGUGUGCCAGCCAUCAGGUGCUAUCACCUAGAAGAUUGCUCUAUUCAUUUCCAUGCCCCUACCCCACCCCACACCUACACCCUACCCUACCCCCAACACCCAGAAAACAGGAAAAAAUUUAGGCAAAAGUCCCUCUUCCAUGAAAAGUGAGAUAGAAAUUUCUAUCUUCAGACAGUGUUUUCACUAUAUAGCUUCAAUUGGUCUCAAACUUGUUAAUCUUCUGCCUCAGCUUCCUGAGAGCCAGAAUUACGACAUGCAGUGUUGUAACUUGAGACAUUUAAUGUUCUCCAGCAUCUCAUGGAUCCUUUAACACAGCAUUGUGGGACCCAGCUCAGCUCAGCUCCACACAAGGCUGAGUCAGAGGUCUACAUUCCUGUGGGAAUUGGCGAUGUCACCCUUGAAUUUCUCAUCUAAACCCUGAGCUGCUCUGUUCAAGAAAGCCGUGGCUGGUUGUCUGCAGUCACUGGUCUUCAUUCAGGAUUCAUCAGCGCAGGCCGUGCUCUUCCUAAGGAGUACCAGCCCUAUCUGAGCAUAACAGAGGACUAGGCUUGGUGCCCCUUCGUGAGACUCAUCUGACAAGCCAUCUUUGCCUCAGAGCUCCCUGCUGAGACUUUGUGCAUAGAGGUGUGAGACCCCACCUACAUGACUCUGUCCUCUGAUCCCCGACUUACUUUUCACGGAGUCACUGUAUCACUCAGAUGCCUUUUCUUUCCUUCUAGCUUGCUUGCUUCUUGUUCUCCCAUGGGAACCACCUCAUAAACCUCUCAUUCCAUCCUG